Eurytemora carolleeae is the source of this 179-nucleotide long non-coding RNA. RefSeq lists it as uncharacterized. The transcript has 3 exons. NCBI's taxonomy places the organism in Eukaryota, Metazoa, Arthropoda, Copepoda, Calanoida, Temoridae. The record is from RefSeq and is a predicted model, not a curated record.
CAAGGAGGGCUCAAGAGAUCGUUACAAGAAGGUCUGUUAAGAAAGAAUUUAAUCAAAGAAUGCCCCAGGAAGAAGAAUCAUAGGCUGGAGUUGGUAAAACGUCAUUGAUUAGUAGAUACACCCUGGAACAGUUUUCUUCUGAAUAUAGAAUAAGUACUGAGCCUGGAUUUGAAGUGAAG